GAGUAUGCAGCUUUGUGGCCUUAGCUUUGCAAAAGCUAUUGAGAAAUAUUUAUUUUCCGUACUU
Molecule: transfer RNA, 64 nt
Filed under: Echinobothrium harfordi
Lineage: Eukaryota; Metazoa; Platyhelminthes; Cestoda; Diphyllidea; Echinobothriidae
Description: tRNA-Cys
Source: RNAcentral